RNAcentral lists this transfer RNA (61 nucleotides) under Nicotiana sylvestris (wood tobacco). It matches the Rfam family "tRNA", at positions 8 to 63 of the family's 71-position model. From Rfam's summary of the family: Transfer RNA (tRNA) molecules are approximately 80 nucleotides in length. Their secondary structure includes four short double-helical elements and three loops (D, anti-codon, and T loops). Lineage: Eukaryota; Viridiplantae; Streptophyta; Magnoliopsida; Solanales; Solanaceae. The record is from Rfam by way of RNAcentral.
UGGUCAAGUNGUGGUUUAGGACAUCUCUCUUUCAAGGAGGCAGCGGGGAUUCGAAUUCCCC